CCUACGGGUGGCAGCAGUGGGGAAUAUUGCACAAUGGGGGGAACCCUGAUGCAGCGACGCCGCGUGAGUGAAGAAGUAUUUCGGUAUGUAAAGCUCUAUCUGCAGGAACGAGACAAGACGGUACCUGACUAAGAAGCCCCGGCUAACUACGUGCCAGCAGCCGCGGUAAUACGUAGGGGGCAAGCGUUAUCCGGAAGCACUGGGUGUAAAGGGAGCGUAGACGGCUGAGCAAGCCUGAAGUGAAAGGCGGGGGCCCAACCCCCGGACUGCUUUGGGAACUGGACGGCUGGAGUGCAGGAGAGGUAAGUGGAAUGCGUGGUGUAGCGGUGAAAUGCGUAGAUAUCAGGAGGAACCCCAGUGGCGAAGGCGGCUUACUGGACUGUAACUGACGUUGAGGCUCGAAAGCGUGGGGAGCAAACAGGAUUAGAUACCCUAGUAGUC
This 441-nucleotide ribosomal RNA is filed under the name uncultured bacterium. RNAcentral describes it as "partial 16S ribosomal RNA". It matches the Rfam family "Bacterial small subunit ribosomal RNA", at positions 338 to 795 of the family's 1533-position model. The record is from RNAcentral.